This is a non-coding RNA of Vicia faba (fava bean), 216 nucleotides long. The record is from the annotation of a GenBank genome assembly. NCBI's taxonomy places the organism in Eukaryota, Viridiplantae, Streptophyta, Magnoliopsida, Fabales, Fabaceae.
AUGAAGUCUACAAUGGUUGGAGCGGAGAGGUAUGGAGAGUUAAGCGGAGGUAUGAUGCGGAUGAGAAUGGCCGCCGAUGUGUUGGUGAAGAAGAGUCGCACCAUGAGAGAAGAACGAAGAAGAGGAGUGAUAUCGGAUGGAGACGAAAUUGGGAUAAUAUCAAAGGUGAAGGGUUUGGUUUGUGACGGAGAUCGCCGUCGUGCCUGGUUUCCGUGA